AGAGUUUGAUCAUGGCUCAGGAUAAACGCUGGCGGCGCACAUAAGACAUGCAAGUCGAACGAACUUAACCAUUAGUUUACUAUUGGAGCGGUUAGUGGCGGACUGGUGAGUAACACGUAAGCAACCUGCCUAUCAGAGGGGAACAACAGUUAGAAAUGACUGCUAAUACCGCAUAUGCCUUAGAAUCACAUGGUUCGAAAGGGAAAGGGA
This 210-nucleotide ribosomal RNA is filed under the name uncultured bacterium. RNAcentral describes it as "partial 16S ribosomal RNA". It matches the Rfam family "Bacterial small subunit ribosomal RNA", at positions 8 to 209 of the family's 1533-position model. The record is from RNAcentral.